GAUGAAGAACGCAGCGAAAUGCGAUACUUGGUGUGAAUUGCAGAAUCCCGUGAACCAUCGAGUCUUUGAACGCAAGUUGCGCCUCAAGCCAUUAGGUUGAGGGCACGUCUGCCUGGGCGUCACAUAUCGUUGCCUGAUGCCAGUUUCCUCGUGAUGGGUGACUGUGCAGGGCGAAUGAUGGCUUCCCGUGAGCAUUGUUGCCUCAUGGUUGGUUGAAAAUUGAGUCCUUGGUAGGGAGCGCCGUGAUAGAUGGUGGUUGAGUGACGAACGAGACCCAAUCAUGUGAGACCCCUACCGAAUUUGGCCUUCAUGACCCACAUGCGGCUUUGGAACGCUCAUGACGAGACCUCAGGUCAGGCGGGGCUACCCGCUGAGUUUAAGCAUAUCAAUAAGCGGAGGA
RNAcentral lists this unclassified non-coding RNA (400 nucleotides) under soil metagenome. RNAcentral describes it as "partial contains 5.8S ribosomal RNA, internal transcribed spacer 2, and large subunit ribosomal RNA". The stretch from base 1 to 122 matches the Rfam family "5.8S ribosomal RNA", at positions 35 to 154 of the family's 154-position model. The record is from RNAcentral.